GGGUUGUGAGGUUAAGCGACUAAGCGUACACGGUGGAUGCCCUGGCAGUCAGAGGCGAUGAAGGACGUGCUAAUCUGCGAAAAGCGUCGGUAAGGUGAUAUGAACCGUUACAGCCGGCGAUGUCCGAAUGGGGAAACCCAGUGCAAUUCGUUGCACUAUCGUUAACUGAAUACAUAGGUUAACGAGGCGAACCGGGGGAACUGAAACAUCUAAGUACCCCGAGGAAAAGAAAUCAACCGAGAUUCCCCCAGUAGCGGCGAGCGAACGGGGAGCAGCCCGGAGUCUGAAUCAGCUUGUGUGUUAGUGGAAGCGUCUGGAAAGUCGCAGGGUACAGGGUGAUACUCCCGUACACUAAAACACACAGGCUGUGAACUCGAAGAGUAGGGCGGGACACGUGGUAUCCUGUCUGAAUAUGGGGGGACCAUCCUCCAAGGCUAAAUACUCCUGACUGACCGAUAGUGAACCAGUACCGUGAGGGAAAGGCGAAAAGAACCCCGGCGAGGGGAGUGAAAAAGAACCUGAAACCGUGUACGUACAAGCAGUAGGAGCCCCACCACCAAAGCGUUUCGCUUUGCGUGGUGCGCAAAAUGCGUAACGACAGCAUGAUGGACGGUUAACGGAGCGUCAGCGACGUUCAACGUCAAAAAUCAGGCAGUGGAGCGUUUUGGGGUGGGGUGACUGCGUACCUUUUGUAUAAUGGGUCAGCGACUUAUAUUCUGUAGCAAGGUUAACCGUAUAGGGGAGCCGCAGGGAAACCGAGUCUUAACUGGGCGUUAAGUUGCAGGGUAUAGACCCGAAACCCGGUGAUCUAGCCAUGGGCAGGUUGAAGGUUGGGUAACACUAACUGGAGGACCGAACCGACUAAUGUUGAAAAAUUAGCGGAUGACUUGUGGCUGGGGGUGAAAGGCCAAUCAAACCGGGAGAUAGCUGGUUCUCCCCGAAAGCUAUUUAGGUAGCGCCUCGUGAAUUCAUCUUCGGGGGUAGAGCACUGUUUCGGCUAGGGGGUCAUCCCGACUUACCAACCCGAUGCAAACUACGAAUACCGAAGAAUGUUAUCACGGGAGACACACGGCGGGUGCUAACGUCCGUCGUGAAGAGGGAAACAACCCAGACCGCCAGCUAAGGUCCCAAAGUCAUGGUUAAGUGGGAAACGAUGUGGGAAGGCCCAGACAGCCAGGAUGUUGGCUUAGAAGCAGCCAUCAUUUAAAGAAAGCGUAAUAGCUCACUGGUCGAGUCGGCCUGCGCGGAAGAUGUAACGGGGCUAAACCAUGCACCGAAGCUGCGGCAGCGACACUAUGUGUUGUUGGGUAGGGGAGCGUUCUGUAAGCCGUUGAAGGUGGCCUGUGAGGGUUGCUGGAGGUAUCAGAAGUGCGAAUGCUGACAUAAGUAACGAUAAUGCGGGUGAAAAACCCGCACGCCGGAAGACCAAGGGUUCCUGUCCAACGUUAAUCGGGGCAGGGUGAGUCGACCCCUAAGGCGAGGCCGAAAGGCGUAGUCGAUGGGAAACAGGUUAAUAUUCCUGUACUUGGUGUUACUGCGAAGGGGGGACGGAGAAGGCUAUGUUGGCCGGGCGACGGUUGUCCCGGUUUAAGCAUGUAGGCGGAUGUUCCAGGUAAAUCCGGAGCGUCACUAACGCUGAGGUGUGAUGACGAGGCACUACGGUGCUGAAGUGACAAAUGCCCUGCUUCCAGGAAAAGCCUCUAAGCAUCAGGUAACAUCAAAUCGUACCCCAAACCGACACAGGUGGUCAGGUAGAGAAUACCAAGGCGCUUGAGAGAACUCGGGUGAAGGAACUAGGCAAAAUGGUGCCGUAACUUCGGGAGAAGGCACGCUGAUGGUAGGUGAAGUGACUUGCUCAUGGAGCUGAAAUCAGUCGAAGAUACCAGCUGGCUGCAACUGUUUAUUAAAAACACAGCACUGUGCAAACACGAAAGUGGACGUAUACGGUGUGACGCCUGCCCGGUGCCGGAAGGUUAAUUGAUGGGGUUAUCCUCGCGGAGAAGCUCUUGAUCGAAGCCCCGGUAAACGGCGGCCGUAACUAUAACGGUCCUAAGGUAGCGAAAUUCCUUGUCGGGUAAGUUCCGACCUGCACGAAUGGCGUAAUGAUGGCCAGGCUGUCUCCACCCGAGACUCAGUGAAAUUGAACUCGCUGUGAAGAUGCAGUGUACCCGCGGCAAGACGGAAAGACCCCGUGAACCUUUACUAUAGCUUGACACUGAACACUGGUCCUUGAUGUGUAGGAUAGGUGGGAGGCUUUGAAGUGUGGACGCCAGUCUGCAUGGAGCCAUCCUUGAAAUACCACCCUUUAAUGGCUGGUGUUCUAACGUGGGCCCGUGAUCCGGGUUGCGGACAGUGUCUGGUGGGUAGUUUGACUGGGGCGGUCUCCUCCUAAAGAGUAACGGAGGAGCACGAAGGUCAGCUAAUCCUGGUCGGACAUCAGGAGGUUAGUGCAAUGGCAUAAGCUGGCUUGACUGCGAGCGUGACGGCGCGAGCAGGUGCGAAAGCAGGUCAUAGUGAUCCGGUGGUUCUGAAUGGAAGGGCCAUCGCUCAACGGAUAAAAGGUACUCCGGGGAUAACAGGCUGAUACCGCCCAAGAGUUCAUAUCGACGGCGGUGUUUGGCACCUCGAUGUCGGCUCAUCACAUCCUGGGGCUGAAGUAGGUCCCAAGGGUAUGGCUGUUCGCCAUUUAAAGUGGUACGCGAGCUGGGUUUAGAACGUCGUGAGACAGUUCGGUCCCUAUCUGCCGUGGGCGCUGGAGAAUUGAGGGGGGCUGCUCCUAGUACGAGAGGACCGGAGUGGACGCAUCACUGGUGUUCGGGUUGUCAUGCCAAUGGCAUUGCCCGGUAGCUAAAUGCGGAAGAGAUAAGUGCUGAAAGCAUCUAAGCACGAAACUUGCCCCGAGAUGAGUUCUCCCUGACUCCUUGAGAGUCCUGAAGGAACGUUGAAGACGACGACGUUGAUAGGCCGGGUGUGUAAGCGCAGCGAUGCGUUGAGCUAACCGGUACUAAUGAACCGUGAGGCUUAACCUUACAACGCCGAAG
RNAcentral lists this ribosomal RNA (3041 nucleotides) under Klebsiella oxytoca. Its description in RNAcentral is "23S ribosomal RNA". It matches the Rfam family "Bacterial large subunit ribosomal RNA". The record is from RNAcentral. Lineage: Bacteria; Pseudomonadati; Pseudomonadota; Gammaproteobacteria; Enterobacterales; Enterobacteriaceae.